Molecule: ribosomal RNA, 355 nt
Filed under: uncultured bacterium
Lineage: Bacteria
Description: bacterial SSU rRNA
Rfam family: Archaeal small subunit ribosomal RNA
Source: RNAcentral
UCCUGCUAAAGGAAUCUUUUGCCGGUUCUAAAAGCACCGGUGAAUAAGGGGUGGGCAAGUCUGGUGUCAGCCGCCGCGGUAAUACCAGCACCUCGAGUGAUCAGGACGUUUAUUGGGCCUAAAGCAUCCGUAGCUGGCUUUGCAAGUCUCCGGUUAAAUCAACCUGCUCAACAGAUUGGCCGCUGGAGAUACUACAAAGCUAGGGAGUGGGAGAGGCAGACGGUAUUCGGGGGGUAGGGGUAAAAUCCUCUGAUCCUCUGAGGACCACCAGUGGCGAAGGCGGUCUGCCAGAACACGUUCGACAGUGAGGGAUGAAAGCUGGGGGAGCAAACCGGAUUAGAUACCCCCGUAGUCC